RNAcentral lists this transfer RNA (73 nucleotides) under Dopasia gracilis (Burmese glass lizard). RNAcentral's name for it is "tRNA-Asn". It matches the Rfam family "tRNA". Rfam says of the family: Transfer RNA (tRNA) molecules are approximately 80 nucleotides in length. Their secondary structure includes four short double-helical elements and three loops (D, anti-codon, and T loops). Lineage: Eukaryota; Metazoa; Chordata; Lepidosauria; Squamata; Anguidae. The record is from RNAcentral.
UAGAUAGAAGCUCGCUGGGUAGAGUGAUUAGCUGUUAAUUAAUUGUUUACGGGAUCGAGGCCCGUGUAUCUAG